Long non-coding RNA from Pipra filicauda (Wire-tailed manakin), 354 nucleotides. RefSeq lists it as uncharacterized. Lineage: Eukaryota; Metazoa; Chordata; Aves; Passeriformes; Pipridae. The record is from RefSeq and is a predicted model, not a curated record. The transcript is spliced from 2 exons.
AGUGAGACAACUGUCUGUUCUGUCCUGGUUUUGCUGUUAUUUUUACCAUUUUCUUUUACUACAUCUCCGAAAAAUCUGCAAGUCUUAGGGAACUGAAGAAAUUUUUUCAACAAGACACAGAGUCCAUGAUUUUACAACAGUGCUUUCUAGAGAUCACUUUGCUGGAAGUCCUGAAGUCCCUGACACUAAGAAAAAAGGCUCAUCAAGUGACUUGAGAUCACUGUGUCUGACUGGAGCAUAGAUGUUGUAUGAGGAGACACCCAGGGAUACAAUUUUCCUAAAUUUUCUUUGUGAACAGGCAGUUACCUUCCCAGCUGUCAAGAACCUCUAUGAAUAAAGCCACACAAAGUGUAA